UACAGAGGUGCCAAGCGUUAGGCGGAAUCACUGGGCUUAAAGCGCGUGUAGGUGGCUGGGUAAGUACCUUGUGAAAUCCCACGGCUCAACCGUGGAACUGCUGGGUAUACUGCCUGUCUUGAGGCACUCAGGGGCAGCUGGAACAAAUGGUGGAGCGGUGAAAUGCGUAGAUAUCAGGAGGAACACCAAUGGCGAAGGCAGCUCGCUGGAACGGAACUGACGCUGAGGCGCGAAAGCGUGGGGAGCGAACAGG
This 253-nucleotide ribosomal RNA is filed under the name uncultured bacterium. RNAcentral describes it as "partial 16S ribosomal RNA". It matches the Rfam family "Bacterial small subunit ribosomal RNA", at positions 524 to 776 of the family's 1533-position model. The record is from RNAcentral.